GAUGAAGAACGUAGCGAAAUGCGAUAAGUAAUGUGAAUUGCAGAUACAGUGAAUCAUCGAAUCUUUGAACGCAAAUGGCACUCUAUGGUAUUCCGUAGAGUACGUCUGUUUGAGCGUCGCGAACAUCUCCACAAUUAGUUUUUUUUUAAAAUUAGUUGAGGGUUUUGAGGUUGUCAUAUAAACAAUGACUCCCUUUAAAAUAAUUAGUGAUGACCUUAUGAAUGGGUUAAUACUGUGUGUUAUAAUGGAUUACAUCCAUCACCAGUCAGAGAGUAAUCUCGCCUUAGUAAUUUGUAGUGAUUGCUUCUAACUGCCAUUGGCAAUAACCUGAUCAAAUCGACCUCAAAUCAGAUGGGAUUACCCGCUGAACUUAAGCAUAUCAAUAAGCGGAGGA
Molecule: unclassified non-coding RNA, 394 nt
Filed under: soil metagenome
Description: partial contains 5.8S ribosomal RNA, internal transcribed spacer 2, and large subunit ribosomal RNA
Rfam family: 5.8S ribosomal RNA (bases 1-119)
Source: RNAcentral